AGUGAACGCUGGCGGUAGGCCUAACACAUGCAAGUCGAACGGCAGCACAGUAAGAGCUUGCUCUUACGGGUGGCGAGUGGCGGACGGGUGAGGAAUACAUCGGAAUCUACUUUUUCGUGGGGGAUAACGUAGGGAAACUUACGCUAAUACCGCAUACGACCUACGGGUGAAAGCAGGGGAUCUUCGGACCUUGCGCGACUGAAUGAGCCGAUGUCGGAUUAGCUAGUUGGCGGGGUAAAGGCCCACCAAGGCGACGAUCCGUAGCUGGUCUGAGAGGAUGAUCAGCCACACUGGAACUGAGACACGGUCCAGACUCCUACGGGAGGCAGCGGUGGGGAAUAUUGGACAAUGGGCGCAAGCCUGAUCCAGCCAUACCGCGUGGGUGAAGAAGGCCUUCGGGUUGUAAAGCCCUUUUGUUGGGAAAGAAAAGCAGCAGGUUAAUACCCCGCUGUUCUGACGGUACCCAAAGAAUAAGCACCGGCUAACUACGUG
Molecule: ribosomal RNA, 492 nt
Filed under: uncultured bacterium
Lineage: Bacteria
Description: partial 16S ribosomal RNA
Rfam family: Bacterial small subunit ribosomal RNA
Source: RNAcentral